AUUGAACGCUGGCGGCAUGCUUUACACAUGCAAGUCGAACGGUAACAGGCCGCAAGGUGCUGACGAGUGGCGGACGGGUGCGUAAUGCAUCGGAACGUGCCCAGUCGUGGGGGGUAACUACUCGCAAGAGUAGCUAAUACCGCAUACGAUCUAUGGAAGAAAGCGGGGGACCGUAAGGCCUCGCGCGAUUUUAGCGGCCGAUGUCAGAUUAGGUAGUUGGUGGGGUAAAGGCUCACCAAGUCAACGAUCAGUAGCUGGUCUGAGAGGACGACCAGCCACACUGGGACUGAGACACGGCCCAGACUCCUACGGGAGGCAGCAGUGGGGAAUUUUGGACAAUGGGCGCAAGCCUGAUCCAGCAAUGCCGCGUGCAGGAAGAAGGCCUUCGGAUUGUAAACUGCUUUUGUACGGAACGAAACGGCUCUGGUUAAUACCCGGGGCUAAUGACGGUACCGUAAGAAUAAGCACCGGCUAACUACGUG
RNAcentral lists this ribosomal RNA (482 nucleotides) under uncultured bacterium. RNAcentral's name for it is "partial 16S ribosomal RNA". It matches the Rfam family "Bacterial small subunit ribosomal RNA", at positions 30 to 507 of the family's 1533-position model. The record is from RNAcentral.